GAUGAACGCUAGCGGCAGGCCUAACACAUGCAAGUCGAGGGAGAAGCCCUUCGGGGCAGAAACCGGCGCACGGGUGCGUAACGCGUAUGCAACCUACCUUUCACAGGGGGAUAGCCCGAAGAAAUUUGGAUUAAUACCCCAUAAUAUUAUUGGAUGGCAUCAUUUGAUAAUUAAAAUUACGAUGGCGAAAGAUGGGCAUGCGUCCUAUUAGCUAGUUGGAGUGGUAACGGCACCCCAAGGCUACGAUAGGUAGGGGUCCUGAGAGGGAGAUCCCCCACACUGGUACUGAGACAGGGACCAGACUCCUACGGGAGGCAGCAGUGAGGAAUAUUGGUCAAUGGUCGGAAGACUGAACCAGCCAUGCCGCGUGCAGGAAGAAUGCCUUAUGGGUUGUAAACCGCUUUUAUAUGGGAAGAAUAAGGCGUACGUGUACG
This 434-nucleotide ribosomal RNA is filed under the name Capnocytophaga granulosa. Its description in RNAcentral is "bacterial SSU rRNA". It matches the Rfam family "Bacterial small subunit ribosomal RNA", at positions 28 to 465 of the family's 1533-position model. Lineage: Bacteria; Pseudomonadati; Bacteroidota; Flavobacteriia; Flavobacteriales; Flavobacteriaceae. The record is from RNAcentral.